GAAAUACUCCCUCGGUCCGGAAAAACUUGUCAUCAAAAUGGAUGAAAAUGGAUGUAUCUACAACUAAAAUACAUCCAGAUAAAUCCAUUUCAAUGACAAAUAUUUCCGGACGGAAGGAGUAUAUU
Non-coding RNA from Triticum aestivum (bread wheat), 125 nucleotides. Lineage: Eukaryota; Viridiplantae; Streptophyta; Magnoliopsida; Poales; Poaceae. The record is from Rfam.